RNAcentral lists this ribosomal RNA (895 nucleotides) under Pestalotiopsis humus. RNAcentral describes it as "LSU rRNA". It matches the Rfam family "Eukaryotic large subunit ribosomal RNA", at positions 41 to 961 of the family's 3401-position model. RNAcentral also lists the same sequence under 1 other name. The record is from RNAcentral. Lineage: Eukaryota; Fungi; Ascomycota; Sordariomycetes; Amphisphaeriales; Sporocadaceae.
UAUCAAUAAGCGGAGGAAAAGAAACCAACAGGGAUUGCCUUAGUAACGGCGAGUGAAGCGGCAACAGCUCAAAUUUGAAAUCUGGCCCUCGGGUCCGAAUUGUAAUUUGUAGAGGAUGAUUUUGGUGCGGUAUCUUCCGAGUUCCUUGGAACAGGACGCCUUAGAGGGUGAGAGCCCCGUACGGUUGAAUGCCUAGCCUCUGUAAAUCUCCUUCGACGAGUCGAGUAGUUUGGGAAUGCUGCUCUAAAUGGGAGGUAAAUUUCUUCUAAAGCUAAAUAUUGGCCAGAGACCGAUAGCGCACAAGUAGAGUGAUCGAAAGAUGAAAAGCACUUUGAAAAGAGGGUUAAAUAGCACGUGAAAUUGUUGAAAGGGAAGGAUUUGUGACCAGACUUUUUCUGGGCGGAUCAUCCGGGGUUCUCUCCGGUGCACUUUGCCCAGUAAAGGCCAGCAUCGAUUUUCGGCGGCGGAUAAAAGCAGUGGGAAUGUGGCUCCCUACGGGGAGUGUUAUAGCCCAUUGUAUAAUACGCUGCUGGGGAUCGAGGUACGCGCUUCUGCAAGGAUGCUGGCGUAAUGGUUAUCAAUCACCCGUCUUGAAACACGGACCAAGGAGUCGAACAUUUAUGCGAGUGUUUGGGUGUUAAACCCUCACGCGUAAUGAAAGUGAACGGAGGUGAGAGCCCGUACGGGUGCAUCAUCGACCGAUCCUGAAGUUUUCGGAUGGAUUUGAGUAAGAGCAUAACUGUUCGGACCCGAAAGAUGGUGAACUAUGCGUGGAUAGGGUGAAGCCAGAGGAAACUCUGGUGGAGGCUCGCAGCGGUUCUGACGUGCAAAUCGAUCGUCAAAUCUGCGCAUGGGGGCGAAAGACUAAUCGAACCAUCUAGUAGCUGGUUACCGC